AGUGAACGCUGGCGGCAUGCCUUACACAUGCAAGUCGAACGGUAACACAUUUUGAGAUUGCUCCUACUGGUGGCCGGUUGCGUACUGGUUCGGAAUACAUCGGAUUCUACUUUUUCGUGGGGGAUAACGUUUGGUAACUCACGAUACUAUCUCCUACUACCUGCGGGGGAUAUCCGGGGAUCUUCCGACCUUGCCCGCUUGAGUGAGCUGAUGUCGGAUUAGCUAGUUGGCGGGGUAAAGGCCCACCAAGGCGACGAUCCGUAGCUGGUCUGAGAGGAUGAUCAGCCACACUGGAACUGAGACACGGUCCAGACUCCUACGGGAGGCAGCAGUGGGGAAUAUUGGACAAUGGGCGCAAGCCUGAUCCAGCCAUACCGCGUGGGUGAAGAAGGCCUUCGGGUUGUAAAGCCCUUUUGUUGGGAAAGAAAAGCAGCAGGUUAAUAAACAGCUGUUAUGACGGUACCGAAAGAAUAAGCACCGGCUAACUUCGUG
This 492-nucleotide ribosomal RNA is filed under the name uncultured bacterium. RNAcentral describes it as "partial 16S ribosomal RNA". It matches the Rfam family "Bacterial small subunit ribosomal RNA", at positions 29 to 507 of the family's 1533-position model. The record is from RNAcentral.